GUGGGGUAACGGCCCACCAAGGCUUCGACGGGUAGCUGGUCUGAGAGGACGAUCAGCCACACUGGGACUGAGACACGGCCCAGACUCCUACGGGAGGCAGCAGUGGGGAAUCUUGCGCAAUGGGCGAAAGCCUGACGCAGCAACGCCGCGUGGGGGAUGAAGGCUCUCGGGUCGUAAACCCCUUUCAGCAGGGACGAAACUGACGGUACCUGCAGAAGAAGCCCCGGCCAACUACGUGCCAGCAGCCGCGGUAACACGUAGGGGGCAAGCGUUGUCCGGAUUUAUUGGGCGUAAAGAGCUCGUAGGUGGUUCGGUAAGUCAGGUGUGAAACCUCCAGGCUCAACCUGGAGACGCCACUUGAUACUGCCGUGACUGGAGUCCGGUAGGGGAGCGUGGAAUUCCUGGUGUAGCGGUGAAAUGCGCAGAUAUCAGGAGGAACACCAGCGGCGAAGGCGGCGCUCUGGGCCGGUACUGACACUGAGGAGCGAAAGCGUGGGUAGCAAACAGGAUUAGAUACCCUGGUAGUCCACGCCGUAAACGUUGGGCACUAGGUGUGGGUCUCAACCAACGGGAUCUGUGCCGUAGCUAACGCAUUAAGUG
This 600-nucleotide ribosomal RNA is filed under the name uncultured Actinomycetes bacterium. Its description in RNAcentral is "bacterial SSU rRNA". It matches the Rfam family "Bacterial small subunit ribosomal RNA", at positions 252 to 866 of the family's 1533-position model. Lineage: Bacteria; Bacillati; Actinomycetota; Actinomycetes. The record is from RNAcentral.